ACGGCUCAGUAACACGUGGACAACGUGCCCUUAGGAGGAGGAUAAUCUCGGGAAAUUGAGAAUAAUACUCCAUAGGUCAUGGGAUCUGGAAUGACCCAUGGCCCAAAGUUCCGGCGCCUAAGGAUCGGUCUGCGGCCUAUCAGGUAGUAGUGGGUGUAACGUACCUACUAGCCUACGACGGGUAUGGGCCUUGAGAGAGGGAGCCCAGAGUUGGAUUCUGAGACACGAAUCCAGGCCCUACGGGGCGCAGCAGUCGCGAAAACUUCACAAUGGGGGCAACCCCGAUGAGGGAAUUCCUAGUGCUAGCACAUUAGUGUUAGCUUUUCUCCUGUAUAGAUAGCUGGAGGAAUAAGGGCUGGGUAAGACGGGUGCCAGCCGCCGCGGUAAUACCUGCAGCCCAAGUGGUGGUCGAUAUUAUUGAGUCUAAAACGUUCGUAGCCGGUUUAAUAAAUCCUUGGGUAAAUCGGGAAGCUUAACUUUCCGAAUUCCGAGGAGACUGUUAAACUUGGGACCGGGAGAGGCUAGAGGUACUUCUGGGGUAGGGGUAAAAUCCUGUAAUCCUAGAAGGACCACCGGUGGCGAAGGCGUCUAGCUAGAACGGAUCCGACGGUGAGGGACGAAGCCCUGGGUCGCAAACGGGAUUAGAUACCCCGGUAGUCCAGGGUGUAAACGCUGCAGACUUGGUGUUGGAGACCCUUCGGGGGUAUUCAGUGCCGGAGAGAAGUUGUUAAGUCUGCUACUUGGGGAGUACGUCCGCAAGGAUGAAACUUAAAGGAAUUGGCGGGGGAG
Molecule: ribosomal RNA, 789 nt
Filed under: uncultured Methanomassiliicoccales archaeon
Lineage: Archaea; Methanobacteriati; Thermoplasmatota; Thermoplasmata; Methanomassiliicoccales
Description: bacterial SSU rRNA
Rfam family: Archaeal small subunit ribosomal RNA
Source: RNAcentral